GACGAACGCUGGCGGCGUGCUUAACACAUGCAAGUCGAACGGUGAAGCGCCUUCCUUUUUGGUGGGUGUGGAUGAGUGGCGAACGGGUGAGUAACACGUGAGUAGCCUGCCCCCUUCUUCUGGAUAACCGCAUGAAAGUGUGGCUAAUACGGGAUAUUCUGGGUCUGUCGCAUGAUGGGUCUGGGAAAGAUAUUGUUUCGGUGGGGGAUGGGCUCGCGGCCUAUCAGCUUGUUGGUGGGGUGAUGGCCUACCAAGGCGGUGACGGGUAGCCGGCCUGGGAGGGUGGACGGUCCCACUGGGACUGAGCCACGGCGCAGACUCCUACGGGAGGCAGCAGUGGGGAAUAUUGCACAAUGGGCGCAAGCCUGAUGCAGCGACGCCGCGUGAGGGAUGGAGGCCUUCGGGUUGUGAACCUCUUUCGCCAGUGAAGCAGGCCUGCCUCGUUUGUGGGUGGGUUGACGGUAGCUGGAUAAGAAGCGCCGGCUAACUACGUG
RNAcentral lists this ribosomal RNA (494 nucleotides) under uncultured bacterium. RNAcentral's name for it is "partial 16S ribosomal RNA". It matches the Rfam family "Bacterial small subunit ribosomal RNA", at positions 28 to 507 of the family's 1533-position model. The record is from RNAcentral.